CAAUAGCGUAUAUUAAAGUUGUUGCGGUUAAAAAGCUCGUAGUUGGAUUUCUGCUGAGGACGACCGGUCCGCCCUCCGGGUGAGUAUCUGGCUCGGCCUGGGCAUCUUCUUGGAGAACGUUGCUGCACUUGAUUGUGUGGCGCGGAAUUCAAGACUUUUACUUUGAGGAAAUUAGAGUGUUUCAAGCAGGCACACGCCUUGAAUACAUUAGCAUGGAAUAAUAAGAUAGGACCUCGGUUUUAUUUUGUUGGUUUCUAGAGCUGAGGUAAUGAUUAAUAGGGAUAGUUGGGGGCAUUCGUAUUUAACUGUCAGAGGUGAAAUUCUUGGAUCUGUUAAAGACGGACUACUGCGAAAGCAUUUGCCAAGGAUGUUUUCAUUGA
RNAcentral lists this ribosomal RNA (380 nucleotides) under uncultured eukaryote. Its description in RNAcentral is "partial 18S ribosomal RNA". It matches the Rfam family "Eukaryotic small subunit ribosomal RNA", at positions 592 to 976 of the family's 1831-position model. The record is from RNAcentral.